Molecule: long non-coding RNA, 1847 nt
Filed under: Citrus maxima (pomelo)
Lineage: Eukaryota; Viridiplantae; Streptophyta; Magnoliopsida; Sapindales; Rutaceae
Description: long non-coding RNA (CMAX_LNC003999)
Source: RNAcentral
CUAGAUCUCUCAAUCUCUCUCGUUCCUCUCUCGAAAUCUCGAAUUCUCGAUCUCUCACUCUCUUCAACUGAACUCUACUGUAAUUUCUCCUCUCAAUCUCUCAAGUCUCAUCCGUUCCUCUCUCAAUCUCUCUCACCCGUGACCUGAUCCUCAGUCCUCACUUAAUCUCUCUCACUCUCUCUUCAACUCUCCUGUAAUCUCUUCUUCAGAUCAGAUCAGAUCCUUCGCGGCGCGGCCUGUCAUCACCUUCACGGUGCGGCUGUGUUCGUUUCAUAAGUCAUCAACAUCACUCGUCUCAUCUCUCACUCUGUCGCGGCCAGCAAAAGGGGUUGAAAUUCACAACUGGGAUCAUCAUCUUCUUCUUCAUCAUAUGGCGGCUGUGUUCCACAAUCAGUUUUUGGCGUUGCAUGUUCUUUUAUCUAAAGUUUCAGCAUCAUUUAGAACACGGUGUUAAUAGUUGUGUGCGGAGACUACAGACGAGAGCAUUAAGCAUAUGCAGAAUAGAGACAGCUGGAAUUGAUUACUAGACAUGAUCGGCAAUUUUGACAGCUGGUGGCAGUGGUCUAAAUUGUUUAGGGGAUGAAAUAUUAAAUUUUUGCUUGGGUUUGUUAGGGCUGAACAAUUGAGAAGAUUCAACGUUUGUAAGUGCCGUCUUACAUAACAUGAAUUUUGGUUUGGUCUUGGAUAGUAUAAAAACAAUACAUAUUUUUUUGGAUUUAUAAUUUAUUGUUGAAUUGGAAAUGAAUUGAUGAUGUAGUUGAUCAAGAUUUAAGAGUAAAAAAAGAAAAAUUAAUGGAACUAGUCCAAAAGAGUCCGAAAGAUCUUUACAUAAUCGACGGCACUUGGGAAAACAGCUAUAUAACAAGUUUUUACCAGAAAGCCAGCUCUGUUCUUUUAGAAAAGCUUGAUGUUUAUUUUCUUAAUUAUUAUUUCUUGAGUAAAUUUUUUUCCUUCUACGGUUCUGCCAACUUUUUGGAAGCAAAAAAUAUGGAGGCUAAUAUUAAAAUAAAAUCAACAUUACUCAAAUGAUAAAGAAUAGAUAUUAAAAUAAAAUAAAAUAAACAUUACUCAAUCAUCAUCUUGGCACUAACCAUGUUCGUUGUUUUGAACACCUUGCAUUGUUGGCCAGAGGAAUAGAAGAUAAAAAUAAAGCAAUCCGGGUUCAAAACCCGAAAUCUGGAAAUCUGGAUUUUUUCGGGUUGAACCCGGACCAGACCCGGAUUAAAAAAACGGGGUUCAAUGCGGGUCUAGUUAUGAGAAUUUUGUGUCCGGAUCCGGAUCCGGAACAGCCAAACCCGGACCCGGACCCGGACCCGGACCCGAAAAUUGCCAUCCCUAUUGGGGACGCACUUGUAGACCGUCAGAUUGAGCUGUUAAAGUUGUUGGAGCAAAAGGGUAUGAAAGUGGUGGGUCAUUUUGAUGAUAGUGGCCACCGUAUGCAAGAUUUGUUGGAUUCUGCCAAGCGCAUGGCUCUGCAUGGUUAUGUGAAGGAUUUCGUAUUGUCCUCAACAAUUGCUGCUUAGUCAGUGCGCGUGUGUGCUGUCGUGGGGGCGGCUGCUUUUGCCUUUUGGCGUGUUGCAAUAUAAUGAAAGCGUCCAUCUUAACUAUCAGCAUUAAAAAAAUGCAGUGGCGUAGUGCAAUGUAAUUGAUCUUUUCUACUAAAAAAAAAAAAAGUAAUCGGUCUUGUUACGUUGACUGAUAAUGACAUAUAUAUCAAGCAUUUGUUUAAGCUUUAGUAUGCCAAUGCUAGUGUUAUGUUACAAAAUCUUAUAUUGUAUUUGUGGAAAUCCAAUAUUAUUAAUAAACUCAUUUGUUGUAAAACCUCAAACAUUGUAAAUCAAGACAGC